Molecule: ribosomal RNA, 970 nt
Filed under: Bacillus subtilis
Lineage: Bacteria; Bacillati; Bacillota; Bacilli; Caryophanales; Bacillaceae
Description: bacterial SSU rRNA
Rfam family: Bacterial small subunit ribosomal RNA
Source: RNAcentral
CUUUUCCCGGAAUUAUUGGGCGUAAGGGCUCGCAGGCGGUUUCUUAAGUCUGAUGUGAAAGCCCCCGGCUCAACCGGGGAGGGUCAUUGGAAACUGGGGAACUUGAGUGCAGAAGAGGAGAGUGGAAUUCCACGUGUAGCGGUGAAAUGCGUAGAGAUGUGGAGGAACACCAGUGGCGAAGGCGACUCUCUGGUCUGUAACUGACGCUGAGGAGCGAAAGCGUGGGGAGCGAACAGGAUUAGAUACCCUGGUAGUCCACGCCGUAAACGAUGAGUGCUAAGUGUUAGGGGGUUUCCGCCCCUUAGUGCUGCAGCUAACGCAUUAAGCACUCCGCCUGGGGAGUACGGUCGCAAGACUGAAACUCAAAGGAAUUGACGGGGGCCCGCACAAGCGGUGGAGCAUGUGGUUUAAUUCGAAGCAACGCGAAGAACCUUACCAGGUCUUGACAUCCUCUGACAAUCCUAGAGAUAGGACGUCCCCUUCGGGGGCAGAGUGACAGGUGGUGCAUGGUUGUCGUCAGCUCGUGUCGUGAGAUGUUGGGUUAAGUCCCGCAACGAGCGCAACCCUUGAUCUUAGUUGCCAGCAUUCAGUUGGGCACUCUAAGGUGACUGCCGGUGACAAACCGGAGGAAGGUGGGGAUGACGUCAAAUCAUCAUGCCCCUUAUGACCUGGGCUACACACGUGCUACAAUGGACAGAACAAAGGGCAGCGAAACACGCGAGGUUAAGCCAAUCCCACAAAUCUGUUCUCAGUUCGGAUCGCAGUCUGCAACUCGACUGCGUGAAGCUGGAAUCGCUAGUAAUCGCGGAUCAGCAUGCCGCGGUGAAUACGUUCCCGGGCCCUUGUACACACCGCCCGUCACACCACGAGAGUUUGUAACACCCGAAGUCGUGAGGUAACCUUUUAGAGCCCAGCCGCCGAAAGGUGGGACAGAUGAUUGGGGGUGAAGUCGUAACAAGGUUAACCGAUA